RNAcentral lists this ribosomal RNA (712 nucleotides) under Triticum aestivum (bread wheat). RNAcentral describes it as "partial small subunit ribosomal RNA". Lineage: Eukaryota; Viridiplantae; Streptophyta; Magnoliopsida; Poales; Poaceae. The record is from RNAcentral.
CGAAAUCAAAUGAACGAGGCCCCCUCGACUCCUUUCUCGAUCUGUUUCCUAGGGUGUGAACACCGCCGCCGCUGAUCCCAUCUUCCCCGGCGACAUGCCUCGCUGGCGGCCUCCUCUCUCCCAUCCACGCCGGCGACCUCCCUCUACCCCGCCCUCUUCGUCAACCCGUCUCUCCAGCAGCUCGGGCGAAACCCUUGCCCACCCGAUGCCACAGCGACCUAGCAGGCAGGCGGGAGGAGCCUUGCCCGGCCAUGGCGACACCGCCGGCGGCCUCCUCCUCCCCCUCACCUUCUCUCCCUCUCCCAAGGGAGGGAAGGGAAUGGAAGGGAUCCGACGGCAAAGGGAGGCAGCGCCUAGAUCCGCAGCCGCACCGGCGGGCCGCCGUCCCUCGAGGUCGUCCAUGGAGGUCCGACCCUCCCUUUAGCCAUGGACUGAGACGCCCGAAACCCUAGCUACCCGUGGAGGUCCAACGCCUCAACCUCCAAGGAAAGGACGCGCGCCGGCUGCAGGCCAUCUCCGGCGACCUCCGACCAUGGUUGCUCGGAUCUGGACCAGCUGCUGCUCCUACUGCUUCAGGUGGACGAGGACGAGCCCUCCCUCAUGGCUGCUGCGGCUGCCUACUCCCUUGGUCACCACGCCCCUCCCGUGCCUGGGGUCUCCUUUCUCUCCCGCAGCGGCCGCAGUAGGCGCGUGUGGCUAGAAGGGUUGAGGG